RNAcentral lists this ribosomal RNA (292 nucleotides) under uncultured bacterium. Its description in RNAcentral is "partial 16S ribosomal RNA". It matches the Rfam family "Bacterial small subunit ribosomal RNA", at positions 505 to 796 of the family's 1533-position model. The record is from RNAcentral.
GUGCCAGCAGCCGCGGUAAUACAGAGGGUGCGAGCGUUAAUCGGAAUUACUGGGCGUAAAGGGCGCGUAGGUGGUGAGUUAAGAUUGAUGUGAAAUCCCUGGGCUUAACCUAGGAACUGCAUCGAUGACUGAUUCGCUUGAGUAUUGUAGAGGGUAGUGGAAUUUCCGGUGUAGCGGUGAAAUGCGUAGAGAUCGGAAGGAACACCAGUGGCGAAGGCGGCUACCUGGACAAAUACUGACACUGAGGCGCGAGAGCGUGGGGAGCAAACAGGAUUAGAUACCCUGGUAGUCC